This 4784-nucleotide long non-coding RNA is filed under the name Homo sapiens (human). RNAcentral's name for it is "HSALNT0268316". The record is from RNAcentral. Lineage: Eukaryota; Metazoa; Chordata; Mammalia; Primates; Hominidae.
GGUGUAAACAAGCCUUCUGGCUUGAUAUUUUAUUAGGUUUUAUACCUUUGUGAGGAGAACAGCCUUCUUGUGCUAGGACACAAAAUUCUUAAGUUUUCCUUCCGUCCUAGGGAGUGGUCAGUGUAUAUUUGUCGUUCUGAAUAUAGCCCUUUUGCCUGUUGACUAAACCAGACCCAACAUUUAUUCAGAAGAUAUUUAUUUGGGUGUCACCCCUGGUGUCAUGAUGCAGAGGGAUCAAAACAAACAAGGACCAUGUUCUGAAGGAGUUUGCAGUUGAAUGGGGUAGAUGGGCAUUGUUCAGAGGAUAUGCCCUCUAGGUCAUAAUAACAACCCGAGAAGUACUGAAGGAAAGAAACCUGGUUCUGCCAGGGCAGUGAACAGUGGGGUGAGGGAAGACUUCCCUGAGGAAGUCUCACUCAUUCAUUGAGAAUUAAUGAUGAGUGAGAAUUAAGUAGUUGGGGGCAGGAGGCAUUUCAGCAGAGGGAACAACCUGAGUGAAGGCUCUAUGGCAGAGAGGAAAACAGUUGUUGGGGAAACUGAAAGAGGCCAGUGUGUGGUUGGAACAUUGUACUUGAGCAAAGAGAGUGGAGAUGGAGUGGGAGUGGGAGAGGUAGGCCAAGACCCCAACAUGCAAGGCCUGGAGGUCAUGGCUAGGAGUUUUAUUUUUUAGGUCAAAGGCAGUGAGAUGACACUGAAGAGUUUUAAACCGGGAAGCAGGUGAUAGGAUGACCAGGUGUAUUAUUUUGGAAAAAUCAUUUGGACCACUGUGUUCAGAACAUCUUAGGGGAAGACCAGAGGGAUUGCCAAGGAACCAAUGAAGAGACUGUCUUAGUCCAUUUUGUGCUGCUUUAACAGAAUGCUACUCACUGGGCGAUUUAUAAAGAACAGAAGUUUAUUUGGCUCACAGUCCAAGAGCAUGGCACUAGCAUCUGGCCAGGGUCAUCCUAUGGCGGAAGGCGAGAGAGGAAAUGGGGGUUGAACUCAUCUUUUUAUCAGGAGCACACUCAUGCAGUAACGUAUUAGUCCAUUCAUGAGGGCAGAGCCCUCGUGACCUAAUCACUUCUUAAAGGCUCCACUCUUACACCAUCACAGUGGCAAUUAAUUUGCAGCAGAGUUUUGGUAGGGACAUUCAAACCAUCGCAGGCAGUUACCAUUGUUCAGGUGAGAGAUAUUGGUGGCCUGGACUAGUGGUGACAGUAGAAAUAGAGCAAAGAAAAUGAAUUUCCAACCUGGUUAGAAGAUGAAGCCAACAAAACCUUGUGAUGGAGCGAGUAAGAGCAUGGGAAAGAGGAUUGAUAAGCUUGACUCUCCGAUUUCUGACUCACCCAGCUGGGUGGAUGGUGCCUAUUUUUUAAGAUGGGAAUGUGGGAAGAGGACUACAUGGAGUGGUGGAGGGAGGAAGUUGAUCUGAGUUGGGACUUGGAUGUGUGGAGUUUGGUCUGCCUUUGAGCAUUCAGUUGGACAUGUGAAAUGGGAAGUGGCCAGUUGUAUGAGCCUGAUGUUCAUAAGAGAGGUCUGGGCUUAAGAUAGGAAUUUGGGAGUCAGCAGAGUCUAGGUGGGAAUGGGAAGCCUGGUGAGACGGUAUACAGAGGGAGAGGCAGGAGGCCUGGGCCUGAGAACCCUCCAGGCCUUUUCUGGCUGGGCAGAGGAGGCUGAGUCUGCAGACGAAAUAGAGCAGAGAUGGGUAAGAAGCGGAGGAAAGAUGAGGAAAAUAUGUGGUUAUGAAGCCCGAAGUCGAGAAAAUUUGAGAGUGAGGUCAGUAAGGUGAAAUGCUACAGAGAGGUCAAGUGAGGUAAAGACUGGAAAAAUGCCCAUCAGAUUUAGAGACAUGUGGGUCAUUGGUGGCCUUAGCUUGAGCUGUUUUGGUGGCAUGAUGGAGGUGAAAGCCAGACUGGCGUGGGAGGUGAGGAAACAGACGGUGAACAUAGACAACUCUUUCCCGAAGGUUGGCUGUGGGAGGAGGGAGAUGUGGAUGUUAAAAGUAUUUUGUUUUUUCUUUUUUUUAAGGUAGAAGAGACUUGAACUUGUUUAAAUGUCAUUGGGGAGGGAGCCAGUUCAAGGAGAGGUUUGGUAAUGCAGAAAGAAGAAAGGACAGUGUUUCAUUUUUUCAACAAAUGUUGAGUGCCUGCCACUCUGUGCUGAAGAAUUCUCAGUACUUGGGAAUUCAGCAGUGAACAGAACAGGCAAAGUGUCUGUUGUCAUAGAGUUUAUGUUCUGCUGGGGAAGGCAGAUAGUAAAUGAACUGAUAUAUAAUAUGUCAAGGGUGAUAAAUACUAAAAAAAGACUAAAAAAAUGAAUUAGUAAAGUGAGAGAACAAACCAGGUAAGGAGAUACAGGGUGACAAGGGGGUGGCAGUAUUAGGUGCUGAGGAAGUCCCCUGAGGAGGACAUCAGAGCAGAGAUCUGAAGGAAGUGAGGGGGUGAGCCAUGGAGAUAUCUGGGGGGAGGGAGGGCAUUCCCAGGAGCAGGAAUAGCUCAUGCAAAGGCCCCGGGGCAGAAAUGUGCUUGGUGUGUUCGAGCAAGUAGGCCAGGGCCAGGGUGGUAGAAGGUGAGAGCAGAGGGAUAGCAGGGGCCAGAUCACAUAGAGGUUUGGAGGCCAAGAUCGAGAGUUUUAAUUUUACGCGGAGUGGGAUGGAAAGCUACUGGAGCAUUUUGAGCAAAGGAGUGUUGUGAUCUGAGUUACAUUUUGAGGGCAUCCCUCUGGCUGCUGUUGAGAAAAGCUGUGGGGUGGAAGGGAGGAUAAUUGCUGAAGCAUGGAGACCAGUUACAAGACCAUUGUGAUGGCCCAGGUGGGAGAUAACAGUUGCUUGGCCUAGGGUGAUAGUGGUGGCCUAGUGUGGUAAGAAGGGAUCAGGUUCUAGAUAUUAUGGAUAGUGUGAAGUUCCUGAGAAGGCGGAUAGGGAUGGGAGGUGACAGAGGUGGAGGGGUUGGACACCCACUCCCUUAUAGCAGGAGAGAGCAGAGAGUAGGCCCGAAGUGGGUCAGGUUGUAGGUUUGCUAACAGCAAGCUGAGGGAGUCUCCUUGUGCCCACUUCUAAUUUCUGAGUGAAGUAGGAGGCCACUCCAUUGGUUGUGAGUAAAGAGGACGGCAGCAGAACAGCGAUGAUUGGGAGGGGAGAGUUGGGCCAUUGAGGGUGGAGAAAUGUGCAGUAGCCAUCGUGGAGAGUGAGAGGUGACCAAAUUACUGGGCAGCAUUUCAGGUUUCAUUCGUGGUGGGUAAUUGGGGCUCUGUAGGCCUGCCAACCUGCCCUGUUGUCAGAGGUCUGCUUAGGCGGAGACAGGUGAAAAGGGGACGCUAGUACAAUCUAAGUUUGGGAUUUUGCCAGAAGUUAAGACUAAAGGUCAGAGAGAGUCCAGGCUAUUGAUUGCGUGUCAUCUGAUAAUAGUCCUGCUGAUGGGAUCUACCCUGGAAAAUGAGGAAAAAGGAAAGCCGAGAGGUUGGCCAUCUCAAGGUUUGACAGGACAAAGACAGGUUCUACUGGGAGCAAUUGAGAGGGUCAGCUGGAAGGAGAGAAGAGGAAGGAGCUGGAAGUUCCCCAGUUCCAUAUAGGGACAAGAGUCAGUGUGACCAGCCUCACCAGGCUGGCUUGGAGUGGAGGAGGAUGUGGUAGGUGACUGGGAGCUAAAGGAAUUUAGGGGCAGCGUUGGUUUCUGUGGGGGAAGCCUGCGACAGAUAGAAGUCUGAGGAGUGUGGAAGGGUUACUGUGGGAUCUGGGGGCAUUGGCCACUGAUGGGAUUGUUGGGCAGUGCUGGGUUUGAGGUUGGUGAUGGUGAUUGUUGGACUUGCCUUGGGAGUGGAAGAGAGAAUGCGAGCCAGUGUCAGAGGUGCUGGUGAAUGGAGGUGUGUGACCCGAGCGGUAACAUCCAGAAAGGAUUUCCCGCAAAGACAGCGCGGCUUUUCAGCUGCAGCUGCCCCACCCUGCUCCAGUCUCCCUCAUUUCCAGCCUGGAAAUUGUUGCUAAUUGCCCCAUUGGCAGUUGGGAAGGCAACGCCUGUUAAGAUGUGGAGCAAUAAAGUGGAGCAGGUAUGCUGUGCCGUAUGCCCCUCUUCCUGCACCGUCCUCCUUCUGUCAUCGUUGAGUGGCUCAGGAGUGCUGGCCCUCUAACAGACUGCCUGGGCGUGGAUCCUGACUGCAGAGUAGCACUUCUGGCUGUGACGUGGGCAGAUGGCUUAACCUCCCUGUGCUCAGAUUCCUCACCUGUAAAACAGUUAAUGGAUGAUUAGAGUGUUCCUGCCUCCCUGGGUUGUGGUGAGGACUGAAUGAGCACCUGCCACUAGGAGGCAAUCAGUGAGUCAGCUAUCAUCAUUAUUAUUAUUAGGGUUCCACUCAUUCUCCUUUUCCCUUGGCAUUGCUUGAUCCCACGGAGAUCCCACUAGAGAUUUUGCUUUAAUACUGACUUGUUUUAAAAUAAGAGCAAGAGAACUGACAUUUAUUGACCACCUGCUGUGUGCCAGCUGCCGCCUUAGUCACCACCAAGACCUCUCUCAUGGCGGUGUCAAGAGAAUUAUCUGCACUCUUGGUGCCUAGUUAUGGUCUCUGGAGCAUGAGCCACCGCGCCUGGCCUAUAGUGGCAUUUCAAAACAGAUUGUUUUAGAGCUCACAGCCCAGCACCAAUGCUAGCGAAGACCUCAUUGCUUUAGAUAGGUUUAGGACUUAAACUUGACUCUAACAAGGUAAUGGUGAUUGGAAGGAAAACCUACAUUUGAGUUUGGGCAGCAGCACCCCUCUGGCAUGUCACAGUGACAUAUCUUGUCACCCAAGCAGAGCCUUGGCAUUAUAGAUAC